Molecule: transfer RNA, 77 nt
Filed under: Candidatus Phycorickettsia trachydisci
Lineage: Bacteria; Pseudomonadati; Pseudomonadota; Alphaproteobacteria; Rickettsiales; Rickettsiaceae
Description: tRNA-His
Rfam family: tRNA
About the family: Transfer RNA (tRNA) molecules are approximately 80 nucleotides in length. Their secondary structure includes four short double-helical elements and three loops (D, anti-codon, and T loops). Further hydrogen bonds mediate the characteristic L-shaped molecular structure. tRNAs have two regions of fundamental functional importance: the anti-codon, which is responsible for specific mRNA codon recognition, and the 3' end, to which the tRNAs corresponding amino acid is attached (by aminoacyl-tRNA synthetases). tRNAs cope with the degeneracy of the genetic code in two manners: having more than one tRNA (with a specific anti-codon) for a particular amino acid; and 'wobble' base-pairing, i.e. permitting non-standard base-pairing at the 3rd anti-codon position.
Source: RNAcentral
GCGAAUGUAGCUCAGUUGGUUAGAGCAUCAGGUUGUGGUUCUGAGGGUCGCCGGUUCGAUCCCGGUCAUUCGCCCCA